UACGUAGGGGGCAAGCGUUGUCCGGAUUUACUGGGCGUAAAGAGCGCGCAGGCGGUCGUGUAAGUCGAAUGUGAAAGCCCCCGGCUCAACUGGGGAGGGUCAUUCGAUACUGCUCGACUCGAAGGCAGGAGAGGGAAGCGGAAUUCCCGGUGUAGUGGUGAAAUGCGUAGAUAUCGGGAGGAACACCAGUGGCGAAGGCGGCUUUCUGGCCUGUUCUUGACGCUGAGGCGCGAAAGCUAGGGGAGCAAACGGG
RNAcentral lists this ribosomal RNA (253 nucleotides) under uncultured bacterium. RNAcentral's name for it is "partial 16S ribosomal RNA". It matches the Rfam family "Bacterial small subunit ribosomal RNA", at positions 524 to 776 of the family's 1533-position model. The record is from RNAcentral.